Molecule: long non-coding RNA, 1760 nt
Organism: Melopsittacus undulatus (budgerigar)
Lineage: Eukaryota; Metazoa; Chordata; Aves; Psittaciformes; Psittaculidae
Source: Ensembl
CGCACGGGGAGGAGGGGCUGCGAAGGGGCAGCGGCGAUUCGCGGCGGCGGCGGGGCUGGAAGUUACCGAGUUGCAGUGUCGCAGAAAAGGGAAGCGAACGAAGCCAAAAUGCCCCAGGGGAGCGCGGCCCCGCUGGGGAGGCGGGAUGAGGGAGCUUGGCCCUCCCCUCAGCCCCCCUCCUCCACCCGCCGCGGCUCCCCCAGCCCCCGUAGCCAGGCCCCUGCCCCUCCUGGGCGCGGGGCUUCGGCAGCCCCGGGCUCUUUCGGCGCUCGGCGGGGCCUCGGGGCGCGGCGGGUUUGGCAUCUGCGCACACGCCGGACUGAUGCAUCUUGUGGCUUCUAGGAGCGAUGGCAAGAGGAGGAGUGUUGUCAACGCGAGUACAAGCGAGGGAUGAUGAUGCCUGCAACCUAUGGCUGAACUGGAGGUAAUUCACUAGCGGAUCAAUAACGUACCGAAGGUUCCUGAAAGGCUGCAACAUUGUACAGAGCCUGAUUAGAGAUUAAAACAUUGCUUUAUUUAAUGUUUGGUAGCUUGACGAUACCGAAUAAACGUUCUGGUUCGUGCUGUAACUGUUUAUUUGCUACUUGCAGUCAUAAAGGAAAGUAAAACCAAAGCAAAUAAUUUUUUGCUUUGUUUAAAGGUAACUAUCGUUACCACUGAUAACUACCUUUAAAAAACAAAUCAGUGUCCGACAAGGAACGGGUAUAAAGGAGCAUUAUUACUUUAUGGUUUGCAAUGCAUCUAUGCUUUUUCAGGUCGAGUUUGGGCCUUGCCAGAACAAACAUAUUUAUGGACAAUAAGAGUGAAUGUAGCAGGGAUCGGUGUAAACAGAGGAAGCUGUCAUUUUUUAGUACUAUUUUGCCCCAUUUACUAACUAAAGUGACUCGUGAGGCAAAGCCGAAAGUAUGUUUGAAAUUAUAUAGGAAUUAGACAAAGAAUGCUGUGUAUGUAGAGACCCCGAAGCUCCCAACUGCAUAACUUUUAACAAAAUUCGAUUUAAAGCGUGUUUUUGUGCAGCUGAGAGGAGGCUGAGUUGAGCAUUUUUACAUGUAUGUUUUUAAGGCUCUGAGGAUGGUGUACGAGCCUGCUGCUUGAGCUUUGUGCUUGGCACAGUGAGAAAGCUGCUGCGACCACGCUUCAGCUUUAUUGCACAAACAUAUCCGUGGAAGGUUAGAGAAGGGAGGAUGAAAUGUCAGGUAUUUCCAUGAAGUCGUGUUAUAAAAAGAGAUAAAAAUCAGAUUGAUGUAGCAGAUGCCGUGUUGCUGAGCAUUUUGACAUACUGUUAUCAAAUGUUCUAAAAAUCAUUAAAAUUAUAAUCCAGCAUGUCGGUUGUAAUCUUCAGGGUAAAUGUGUUUUGUAGGACAAUUUUUUUUUAAGAUGUAAACUCUUGAAUGCUGGGUUUGAUCACUUUAUCUGUAGCCAGGCUCACAUUAUAUAUUUAAAAAUGUAUGUGUGUCCCCCUUUUCCCAGUUUUUCUAACAAUAACUGCUCCGUGUUUCAGCUGUAUUUUAAAUCCACACAUCACAUAAUUGAAGUAGCAAUGAAAUAAUAUUUACCAUCUAAUAAAGAUUGAAAACAUAAAGUGGCUUGUCUUUUAUUAGCUAUGUAAAAUACGUACUGUAGUAUCUCUCCUGGGUGGUUCUCACAACAAAGGGCUACAUGAAUAAUGUGAUUAACAUUUUAAUUUCCCUUGAUGUUUACAUAAAUAUACUUCUGUAUGACAUCACUAAAACUAUAAGCUGAGGAAUACAGAAUUUGUA